AAGACUGACUACGCGGAGCUUGCCCUAGCAGAGGCAAAGACAAAGGCAAAAGCAACCCCCAGCAGGGCGAUGCAAGUGCCUUAAAGCAUGGUGGCGAAAUAUGUUUCAGGUGCGGGUCUCAGCAGCACUGGUCCCGUACAUGCACCACUAAGAAAUACCUGAUUGACAUAUAUCAGGAAUGAAAGAAACGCCAGAACUCAGAGGCUCACUUUAUCCAGGCGCCUGUAGACGCCACAACUGGAGAGCACCUUGAGUUGCCUCAGCCUGCUGCACAGUUUGAGCAUGCUGCCAUAAAUGUCGAUGCCACAGCUAAGAACGGUACUCCGUUAGGCAAAGUCGACUUCGAUUUCGAUACUGAUGAUCUCCCGUAGUCGAUCACGUUAUCAGUCAUUAGCUCCACAUUUAUUUCCAUAGCAAUUUUAUUUCUAGAAGAACAUUUAUUUGGUUAUGAUGUAAUAAAUGCUCCUGCUGAGCCCAUACUAUUUGGUUGAUUGAGAUUAAUUGCUUUGCAAUUUUAUUUAUUCCUCAUUCAUGGUUUAAUUGUUCUUGCUCUAUUAUAUGUUGUCAUCAUGAAUGAUGAACUAAAUCAAUAUUAUAUAUUAUUUAUAUAGAACAAGACUCACUUCCCACGAUGGAGGAAAACGAUGAACCAUGCCUGAUUGAUAGCGCAGCCACAAAUUCGAUUCUUAGAGAGACGAAAUAUUUUCAGACACUCCUGAAGAGGACUGAGAAUAUCACUACAAUUGUCGGCAACAAUGGCCGCAUUGUAGGCUCCGGUCGAGCCAUUGUUGUCCUCCCUAACGGUACUAGGAUCUUUAUUGAAGAAGCAUUCCUAUACCCAGGAGCAACUCGUACUCUCCUCACGUUCAAAGAUAUCCGUCGUAGCGGCUAUCACGUUACAACUGCAUGUGUGGGUGGUGCUGAAUACCUCCAUAUCACAUCAACAAACGAAUGUGAAACAAAAGUGGUAGAGAAAGCGCAAGGCACCUCCUCUGGGUUGUAUUACUCAAGAAUUAAACCACCCCCUGAAUUUGUUGCGAUGUCUACUAUAUUUAAGAAUCCUGAGUCUUUUCGAGUAUGGCAUGAAAGACUAGGACACCCUGGAUUAAGGAUGAUGCGGAACAUCAUAACUAGCUCUAUUGGCCAUGGCAUGAAAACCACACAAAUUCCUAAAGACUUCCUAUGCGUCUCUUGUGCUAAAGGAAAACUGAUAACUAAGCCCUCUUACCUGAAAGUAAAGGCUGAGUCCCCGAGUUUCCUGCAGAGACUUCAGGGUGAUAUUUGUGGUCCAAUCAACCCCCUAUCAGGGCCCUUCAGAUAUUUUAUGGUUCUUAUAGAUGCUUCUACUAAGUGGAGCCACGUGUGCCUGUUGUCCACGCGGAACCACGCAUUUGCAAAAUUUAUUGCCCAAAUUAUCCGUUUGCGUGCGAGCUUCCCGGAGAACCGCAUUCAGUCAAUCAGGAUGGAUAAUGCUGGAGAGUUUACCUCAAAGGCCUUUAAUGACUAUUGUCUUGCUUUGGGCAUAAAUGUAGAGCAUUCUGUACCGCAUGUCCAUACACAGAAUGGACUUGCUGAGUCCUUAAUUAAAAGAAUAAAAUUCAUAGCCAGGCCACUUCUACAAGAUAGCAAACUCCCGACCAGUUGUUGGGGACACACAGUUUUGCACGCUGCAGCCUUAAUCCAAUAUAGACCAUCUGCUUACCACUCUGCUUCUCCCCACCAGUUAACGCGUGGUCAACAACCAGUGGUUUCCCAUCUGCGAAAGUUCGGCUGUGCUGUAUACGUGCCGAUAUCACCACCCCAGCGUACAUCUAUGGGACCUCACCGGAAGUUGGGGAUCUAUGUUGGUUAUGAAUCUCUGUCCAUAAUCAAAUAUUUAGAGCCUAGAACCGGGGAUCUGUUCACGGCUCGGUACGCUGAUAGCAUCUUCGAUGAAGAGCAUUUCCCGGCAUUAGGGGGAGGAUUGUACCUUAAUAACAAAGAAUGCCGAGAAAUAGAAUGGAGUGCUAGUAGCAUCCAAUCGCUUGACCCACGCACUAGAGAAACCGAACUUGAAGUUCAACGAAUAAUACACCUGCAAAACUUAGCAAAUAAUCUGCCAGAUGCCUUUACUGAUAUAAGAGGAGUUUCGAAGUCGCAUAUUCCUGCGGCAAAUGCACCGGAGAGAGUGGAGAUACCUCUGCAGGGUAUGGACUCUACUCGUACUCCCCAUCCUAGGAAAAGGGGGAGAAAACCGGAUGAUUCAGUAUCAGCUAAGCGGGGACGCCUGCACCAGCAAGUUACUGAAGAUAAUGCAACACGCUUCCUUUCAGAUGUUCCAGCAGUAACACACCUUGAAGGUGAACGUCCUAGUGCAAAUGAGCGCACAAAUAAAAGCACAAGGACUUCGGAACAACCGGUUUCAAAUAACUUGGGAGAUCACAAAGAACCGGAUGAUUCAGUUGAAGAAAUUGCCAUAAACUAUGUUGAGACGGGAGAGUUAUAUAACCGAAAGACUACAGUUGUCGACACUGAUUUCGUCUCUAUGAUCGCUGUUGUAAUUGCUGAGGAUCCUGAACCAAAGUCCAUGGCAGAGUGCCAGAAGCGCUCAGAUUGGGUCAAAUGGAAAGAAGCAAUAGAGACGGAAUUGCUCUCGCUUUCAAAGAGGCAAGUAUUUGGGCCUGUCGCCCGCACGCCCCCCAAUGUUACCCCAGUCGGGUUCAAAUGGGUGUUCGUCCGAAAGAGGGAUGCGAACAAUGAGGUGGUGAGAUACAAAGCGAGACUUGUAGCACAAGGGUUCACGCAGAGACCCGGCAUCGAUUACGAUGAAACUUACUCCCCGGUAAUGAGUGGCACAACGUUCCGAUAUUUGAUAUCACUGGCAGCAGGUUUAAACUUAAAAAUGCAGAUGAUGGACGUAGUGACCGCAUACUUGUAUGGGUCAUUGGAUUCGGAAAUCUAUAUGAAGGUCCCAGAUGGGCUGAGAGUUUCGGAUGCCAAGUCAAAUCGCAACAUGUACAGCGUUAAGUUGCAGAGGGCGCUGUAUGGGCUUAAACAAUCUGGGCGGAUGUGGUACAAUCGGCUCAGUGAAUUCCUCCUGAAGAAGGGAUACGUAAAUAAUCCAGAUUCUCCUUGUGUAUUCAUUAGAAAAUCCCAGAAGGGUUUUUGCAUAGUUUCGGUCUAUGUUGAUGACUUGAAUAUCAUUGGAUAUGCUGAGGAUAUUGAGGAGGCCAGCGCCUACCUCAAGACAGAGUUUGAAAUGAAAGACUUGGGAGAAACCAAGUUUUGCUUGGGCCUGCAGAUCGAGCAUCUCCCAGAAGGAAUAUUUGUACACCAGUCGACCUAUUGUAAAAAGGUCCUUGAGAGAUUUAAUAUGAUUAAAGCUCACCCUUUAAAGACCCCGAUGGUCGUGAGAUCCCUUGAAAUGGAUACCGACCCAUUUAGACCAAAGAGUGAUGAUGAGAAAUCAUUGGGACCUGAAGUUCCUUACCUUAGCGCUAUUGGAGCACUGAUGUACCUUGCGAAUUGCACCAGGCCUGAUAUUGCAUUCGCGGUAAAUCUACUAGCUAGAUACAGUGCAGACCCAACCAGAAGACAUUGGGUAGGUGUUAAGACUAUACUUAGAUACCUCAAAGGCACUCAAGAUCUUGGCCUGUUUUUUCCGAAGAAUCAGGACCAGACUAUGGUGGGCUAUGCUGAUGCUGGAUAUCAGUCAGAUCCCCAUAAUGGUAUAUCUCAGACUGGCUUUGUAUUUCUAUGUGGUGGCACUGCUGUAUCCUGGAGAUCGUGCAAACAGACAUUAGUAACGACGUCUACUAACCACUCAGAAAUAAUCUCACUAUAUGAAGCCGCACGAGAAUGUGCUUGGCUACGACGGAUGACUAACUACAUCCAGAAGUCAUGUGGUUAUAACACCGCAAAUACCCCCACCAUUAUCUAUGAAGAUAAUGCUGCAUGUGUUGCACAAAUGGAAACGGGCUAUAUUAAGAGCAAUAUGACUAAGCAUAUCUGUCCUAAGUAUUUUUAUCCUCAUGAACUCCAGAACGAGGGUGAGAUAAAAAUCCUGCAAGUCAAGUCUUGUGAUAAUCUGGCUGAUUUAUUCACUAAAUCCUUACCUGCAGUCACAUUCAGAAAAUGUGUACGAGGUAUAGGGAUGAGACAUUUGAGAGACCUGCAGGGUUCAGAGGGAGAUCACCUCUGAAUUUCAGCCCUUACAAUUCGACCUGAAGAUCGUAUAUUAUACACCUUGAAGGUUAUAGUUGUCCUGAAGACACCCGUUGUACUCUUUUUCCCAUUGUGAGUUUUCCUGAAGUUUCUCACAGAUGGUUUUUAACGAGGCAACAAGUGCAAUACAUCGAGUGGCACUAUGCUCUCUUUCUCCAUUUUUUCCCACUGGGUUUUUCGGAGUUUUGAUGAGACAUAAGUCGUCACGGUAUUCGCCCAAGGGGGAGUGUUGAGAAACCCUAAAAGGGGUUUAAUGGGCUAAUACCGAAACUGCCCUUAGGGGUACACAGGUUAUAUAUAUGUACCCAUACCCAUCAUAAUAAAGAUAGACAGAAAGAGCUUUCAUCCACUGUGUCUCUUAUUCCUCUCUGUGUUGGGUUGCUGGGAAGGGAACAUGCUUCUACAACUUCUCACGUCCCUACUGCUGUCGGGAGGGUUCGGAGUCCGGAUCGGGGAUCUGCGACAACUACGUUGUUUAACAAUAAUAACGGACGUGCUGAUGGAGGGAGAGUCAAGACGAAGCCAAGAAAGGCCGAGGCAGGUGCCAACAAGCACUAGCAGUUGUGCCCUUGCUGUGUUUGGUUGGGCCCUCCUCUUCCUCUUCUCCUUCUCCAGUCCUGUUGGCAUCGCGUACAAGAGGGCAGCCAGUGGACCCUCGCUGCCGCCAUUGCUGGGGUGGGCCGUGCUCCAGCCUUGUGCGGUUGGCAGGCCUACUAGCUGUAGAGUAUAGUGGAGGUGGAGUAGUAUUUUUCGCUUCCAUUGGCCUCCAUCCACCUCUCCUCCACUCGACCUGCGCUUCACUACAGCCCACUGGCAGGGGAAGGGGAGCGUCGACCAAUUCGUCCCGCCCUCGCCGCGCCGCUGGCCUCGCUCGCGUGCCCUCCCCGAUGGCGGCAGCGGCGAUCCACCAGUUCGCCGAGUGUAUCACCUGCCACGCCUGGAGCCCCGACCAGUCGAUGAUUGCCUUUUGCCCAAACAACCAUGAAGUACAUAUCUAUAAAUUCUUCACAGACAAGUGGGAGAAACUUCAUGUUUUGUCAAAGCAUGAUCAAAUAGUUUCGGGAAUAGACUGGAGUAAUUCAUCCAACAAAAUCGUAACAGUUUCACAUGAUAGAAAUUCGUAAGUAUAUGUCAAAGUGCAAAUUUCUAGAAGAUCUAUCUUGUUUCUUACUCUGGCAGGGGAUAGGUGGGUACAUAUAUAUAUUUUCAUUUGACCUCAGAUAUGUUUGGACACAAGAAGGAUCUGAUUGGAUACCUACUCUGGUUAUUCUAAAGUUAAAUCGUGCAGCUUUAUGUGUUCAGUGGAGCCCAAAAGAAAACAAGUUUGCCGUGGGAAGUGGUGCCAAAUCUGUGUGUAUUUGUUAUUAUGAACAAGAAAACAAUUGGUGGAUUAGCAAGGUUAUCAGGAAAAGGCAUGAAUCUUCUGUCACUAGUCUUGCAUGGCAUCCAAACAAUAUAUAUCUUGCAACAACGUCUACAGAUGGUAAAUGCAGAGUGUUCUCUACUUUUAUCAAGGGUGUAGACACAAGGGGAUCACAAUCGAGCACUUCAACCAAUUCAAAAUUCGGAGAGCAAAUUGCUCAGCUUGAUCUAUCAUCUACCUGGGUAUUUGGUGUAAGGUGGUCACCAAGUGGGAAGACAUUGGCCUAUGCAGGGCAUAACUCCAUGGUUUAUGUCAUCGAUGAAGUUGAAUCUUCUCCUGUGGCCCAAAACUUGACGCUGCGUGAUCUGCCUCUCCGUGAUGUGGGUUCUUUUUGUCUCUGAGCGCACAUUGGUUGGUGUCGGAUUUGACUGCAAUCCUAUGAUCUUUGCUGCUGAUGAUACUGGGCUUUGGAGUUUCGUAAGAUUCUUGGACGAGAUGAAAGCUGCUCCAUCAGCUUCAAAAGCCUCACAGCUCUCUGAAGCCCUUGGAAAGCUAUAUGGACAAUCAAAGCAGGGGGCUAGUAGCGACACUGUUGAACCAUCGAAAGCUCGUGGUGGGGCCCAUGAGAAUUGCAUAACGUGUAUUGUACCCUUGAGAAAAGGAAGCGAUGGUACUAUCAAACGAUUCAGCACGUCAGGAUUGGAUGGUAAGGUCGUGGUAUGGGAUUUGGAAAACCACGUCAGCAUUGCAAAAUAGCUCGAGGGAAGGCUUUCGUUAACAAUCAAAUCGAGGGGGCUUCUGUCAUUACCCAUCGUGCUCAGGGGACCACCAUUCGUGGCAGCGGGGUCCUGCAGGUUUUCAAGAUCCAGGGCCAGCCAGGUAGAUUUUUUUUGGGUGCCUGUACACAGAAACAUUGCCUUAGCGUAGGGAGAACUUGCAUCUAUCAAGUAGAUUCAAUUUUUGGCGAGUAAUUGUCCUUUGAAUUGAGUCCAUACGUAUUGUGUAUCCUUGCUCCCAAACAAACCCGUACCGUAUAGUUUUUAGCUAGGUAGGUAGGCAAUUGACGUCAUCUCUUAUUUCUGGCGCCAUGUGUAAAAUAACCACACACGGAAUUCAUCCGCGGAUGCUGCAUCUCCAACAAUGAGACUUAAAAUAGUGGCCCAAAAAUUAAAAUAAGAUAUUGAUGAAGCCGUUUGUUUU
Molecule: RNA transcript, 6766 nt
Organism: Zea mays
Lineage: Eukaryota; Viridiplantae; Streptophyta; Magnoliopsida; Poales; Poaceae
Gene name: Actin-related protein 2/3 complex subunit 1A
Exons: 14
Source: RefSeq, marked validated